Molecule: transfer RNA, 76 nt
Filed under: Candidatus Peregrinibacteria bacterium
Lineage: Bacteria; Candidatus Peregrinibacteriota
Description: tRNA-Pro
Rfam family: tRNA
About the family: Transfer RNA (tRNA) molecules are approximately 80 nucleotides in length. Their secondary structure includes four short double-helical elements and three loops (D, anti-codon, and T loops).
Source: RNAcentral
CGGGAUGUAGCUCAGUUGGUAGAGCGCACGGUUCGGGACCGUGAGGCCGGAGGUUCGAGUCCUCUCAUCCCGACCA